RNAcentral lists this ribosomal RNA (408 nucleotides) under uncultured bacterium. RNAcentral describes it as "partial 16S ribosomal RNA". It matches the Rfam family "Bacterial small subunit ribosomal RNA", at positions 28 to 526 of the family's 1533-position model. The record is from RNAcentral.
GACGAACGCUGGCGGCGUGCUUAACACAUGCAAGUCGAACGGAGUUGCGAACGGGUGAGUAACACGUAGGUGAUCUGCCUUGCACUUCGGGAUAAGCUUUGGAAACUAGGGCUAAUACCGGAUAGUGCAUGACGAGCUGGUGGCCUAUCGGCUGGUUGGUGGGGUAAUGGCCUACCAAGGCGUCGACGCGUAGCCGGCCUGGGAGGGUGUACGGCCACAUUGGGACUGAGAUACGGCCCAGACUCCUACGGGGGGAAGCAGUGGGGAAUAGUGCAAGAUGGGCGGAAGCCUGAAGCAACGACGCCGCGUGGGGGAUGAAGGCCGUCGGGUAGUAAACUCCGUUCGACAGGAACGCGGUACCUAUAUAAGAAGCACCGGCUAACUACGUGCCAGCAGCCGCGGUAAUUC